CAAAUUUCAUUGAUAAUUAGGGACAGUUGUAGGUUACAAAUUUUGCUGAAGACCUUUUAACUAUUCCUAAUUUUGUGCAGGUUUUUUUAGUCCUUCAAUAGCAAACAGUUCAAUAUUUCUAUAGAACAAUCUUAAAUCUCAAAGCCUUCCCCUGGCUACUGGGCAGGAACCAGGACAAAGCGCCAGAACCUGGGCCAUGUUCUGGAGAGGACAUGAGUGUAUCUUCCGAAACCAGGUAGGUCCUUGAAAGAGAGAGUUGUCAGCAAGUGGUCUGCCUGUAAAUCACGGUGGAGUUUCGAGUGAUUUUGUCCUCAGACUGCUAAUGCCUUCAGAGAGUUAAAAAGUCCCAGAGCUUGCAGCCUGUGCAUCAUUUCCAAUUCGAUCCUGCUAAAGACUCUUCCUAAAUAAUGGCAUGGCUGGCUGUACCCUUAUCCCCUCGGCUUUUUAUUUCUGUGCCUAUAUGUAAUACGGGCGAAAUUACAUUUGGAUUUAAGUCUACCUUGAAAAUCCAUUUUUCUGUGUAGCUGGAGAACUGCACGGGAAAAGAAAUGGAGUUUUCAAAUUUGCAUUGUCCUUGAUCUCUUGCGAUCACUUCCAAGUUUUCUUCUAGUAAUGUAAUUUCAUAUAGCAGCAGAUUAGCCCAUUUAAAACGUUAUUUGAUGCAUCUGAAUGAAAAGCAUGAUGCUGGCUUGCGGUAGGUGUUUUGGAGCCUCUAAGCAGACAAAGGGCAACACAAACUGGAAUUAAAGCUUGGUUAAAAAAAAAAGAUUGUAUUUCUUCAGAUCUUCUGGUCCAAGUUAAUUCAUUUAACUCAUUCAUUUAGCUUCUCUGUCAUAGUAGUUCUUUUUUUGGUUAAUAUUUUUAUGUCAGAGGCAUUUUGUGAGCAAGGCAUCUGUCUUUACGUGCUCUUUGUGCUCAGUUUUCCCUGUUGGGAUGAUGGUGGGCUGUUGUUUUUUUUCAGAGACGAGAGGUUUCUGUGUUGAAAGAAAUCUUUCAGCACCCCACCCACAGCUGAGAAGUUUGGGGCUUGCUUUCUUUUUUCUUCUUCAUCUUGUUGAUGAUUUUAAAUUUGGCUUUAGGGAACAUGUAAGUUACUGCGUUAGCUCAAGGCAUCCUGGUCAGCUCACCUCUUCGUGAGCACAGACUGAGUGACCCAGAGGGACAUCUCUUCCACCUUUGAGUUAAUUGGGUUUCUCGCUGGCAGCAAAAACCUUCCUGGGGGUGUUCCUCGCUGGGUUUUCUACUCUAGAUUUACCAGUUAGCAGUGUAAGUCUCUCGAAAUCAGUCUAUCUGAGAAUUAGAAAUAACAUCCACCUACAGUGACUGUUGGCAAAUCUGAGUGCAAAGCAGUUUGCUUGGAUAGCACUCACCAGGAUUGACCAAGGUUUUAUAGAAGACAUUUCAAUAUGAAACAUUUAUAUGACAUAAAAUACUCCACAUAAAAUUUCAUGGUCCGUGGGUGCUGCAUCUUGCUGUGCGUCUCAGAAAAAGACAGCUAUUCAUAAAUACAUGGUGGAAAGCGUUAGAAAUAGCUCUAAACAAGCAUUUUAUUUUCCAGAUUGUGAUGAAUUAUGUGAAAUAGCUGCGUUCCUUUGAUGGCUGCUGUUCCUUGAAGAAAUUGAAAGCAGUUGAAACGUUUUUAUUUUGCAAAGUAGUCAAGAGCUUAUGGGUAUGCCAGAAGUCAAAUACCAGCGAUGUGUUACCCGAGGUUAUAUCCUGCUUGUAUCUGAGCAUUUGUUUCUACAUUCGUUUGGGUCUGAGCAAUGCACUCCAAAAGGUUUUUACUAGAAGUUUGUUUUUUUUCUAAUACCUUCUCCCAUUGUGUAUUUAAAAAGUAAUGCACUGGUGAAUUAAAUAAGGGAUAUCUGUGCCCAAUUCCCUGUGCCAAACGUGCAGCCCUGUUGCCAGCAGUUUCCCAUCACAGCCAUACACGUGGUUAAGCUUCUCCAGUGUCUCAACCAUAUCCCUGUAACAUUUUGUAUGCAGAAAGUGCCGCUAAUAUUUGAAGAACUCUGAUCGUGAAUCUUAAUUUUCCACUUAAUAGCAGUCAAAUUUUAAUUACUAUUUUCAUUUCCAAGCUCAGAUGCUCGAAGCUUAGUGAUGGCUCAAGACAGCUGGAAAAUAAGUCUUAGAACAGAGGAAUUAUUUGAAAACAUUUACUUGAAGUUCAUUUCGGGUUGUCUUUUGACUGCAUUUUUGUGUUGGGAAGGUGUUUGAGCUGGGGCUGCAGGGGCAAGCAGGCAGGGGGGCGUUGUGCUGGGUGCUUGUACGAGGUGAGGAGUCCCCAAACUGCACCAUGCCCGACUCACUGCAGGUGGAAAAGGUGGGGAGGUGGCAUGGAGCGUGCAAAAGUGACUUGGGCUGUCACUUUAGUGACAUGGUCUAGAGGGAAAGCUCGUGCUUUGGCCAUUUCUGAAUGCAUGCUGGAGGCCUUUCAGUCCCUGUUGCCAUACUUUGUGGAAGAGCUUUCUCGCUAAAUUACUGUUUUACACAUCUUUGGGAUAAGCUUGACAGCCCUGUUGGGUGGCAAUGCUUUUGUUUGGGGCAGAAAUGGUUUAGUUUGUGGCUUGGCUGCUGCUAACGAGGUGCUUGUGUUUCUUCCUAGCAGGCUUUUUCCUGCUGGUGGGACCAAAGUGGAGAUUCGAGAGGUCGGCUUUACAGGGUUACCUCUGCAGGGUCAGAACAUGUAGGAGCCCUUCUUUCCAGAUAGUCAAAUGCCAGGCUCCAUUCUGCAGUCCCACAGUAUAAAUACCCAGCUGUUGGAUGCUUUGAAGUUCUAGGUAAAUUCUUUUUAGGAGGCUAAAAUGUGGGCAUGUAUCAUUUGUAAAGCUUUUUUUUUUUGUAAUUUCUGACCAAUAACAUUAUGGCCACAAAGCUGAAACGCAAAGAAAACAGAAACACUAAGCCGAAAAGUUUUAAUAAUAAGCCCCUACUUUCAUCUGUCAAGCCAACUGAAUGCAGAAUGUAGAGGAUCAAAGUGUGAUUUCACACCUUCAGAGCAUCGGGACAGCAUCAUUACCAGUUUGUUAGCAGUGCAGAAGGAUCAGGUUGGUGUUUGACGUUACUGCUAGCUUGCAAAACUCCAGUUACACCGUGCAUCUCACUGUGGCAAGUGCUGGAUGCCAUCGUUUUCCCUUUCAAUUAAAACAGAACUGAGAGCACUCCGAAUUCUUCAGGAUGAGCCUUUUAAUUUUGCCUCGAUCACGUAGCAGCUCUUCCACAAAGCACCGUGAGCUGACUGGCCUUCCUCCAUUUCAGCAUGACACAUGAAAAAGCACCAGCGAUUCCUGCAAGGCCCAGAGGUGUAAUGAAGUCAGGAUGCAGACUGCCUGCCACUCAGCCCUGUCUGCUGCGUGCAAGAACAAAGGCUGACGGCAGCGUGGAGGGGAAUAGCAAGCUGUUAGUGACGUCUUGGGUCAGCGUACCCCGGUGUAAUCUUGCAUAAAUGAAUGGAGAUAAAAAACAAAACGAAACUUUGUUGUUACUGGAAGAAGGCGAUCUGGUAUCUUAGCUCCAGGGUGAUGGAAACAGCCUGAUAUUUUGCUAAUUGUGCGCGAGUUAGGAGAUCUGGCUCGUCACGUUACCAGCCUGCUUCCUGCUGCCUGCUUGUCAGGAACCUCAGGCUCAUGACUGACAGCUCUGCGCUGCUUGCUCGAGUAUCUGCCUUCGUCCCGUUUCAUUUGUAAUUCAGUGAGGCAGAGCAGCCUCCCCUUCCAAAACGACCAGAGGAGCCGCAGAUGCAGGCGCAGCUGUCUCGCAGAAGCAGCGCAGGAGCAUUUUGGUAGGCACACAGCAACAAACGGAGUCAAGCAGCAUCCUUGAGUCAAGCACGGUGCUGAGAGCACCUCGUGGUGCUGGAUGCGCCUUGACUCCAGGCUGCGAUUCCUCACUCGCCCUUUGGCACAUCCAGAGCGUGAGCCUCCGCCAGCUCCUGUGGACGUGGAGGCUGAUGGCUCGCUUGGGCACAGCACGAAGGGAUGCUGCCUGACAGCAGCUCGCUUGCUGCCUUCUUGGCUACAAAACCCAGAUUGCAUGUGGUUCAGACAAACACCCCGAGUAUUUGUCAAAAUAAUCUGAAAUCUCAUUUCCUGACCUGCGGAACGUGGCGUAAGUGGCAGAUGAGCAAUAAAAGCGUUCUCCUGAAGUCUCCUGUCAGCACCAUGCUGCUGUUGACUUCAGAUACCGCCUUGUUUAGCCUCGUGUUGGUGUCAGCAGAGGAAACGGAUGGGUUACAGCUGCCAAGUGAAGUGUCGUCAGAGAGUGGGGCUUCUCUGUGGAUUGCAGACUUGUGCAGAAAGUGUCUGCAAACUUCAGCUUGCCGUGGCGUGCCGACUACCUUGUCAGCAGCAUAAAUACUCGGUAACAAAAUGUGUAGAGCCAGGAUAUUGGAUUCUUCUGGUGCCUAGAAAGCUGUGUUUCACUAGUGAAGGCAUUCACCAGUUUUUGCAUCCAGCAUGCAAUUUUGAGCAGUUCCUGGGAGACAGGACUCGGAGCUGUACAAAUUGGCAGAGCCCUGAAGCAGCUGAGGACUCGUUAUCAUGGUAAGAGGACACAGCUACCAGCGCAGCAGAGGUGACAAGGGCUCGGGCAGUCUAAGUCACUGUUAAACUCGAGAUCUAAUUCCCAGCUCUUAUUAAGGACAUUAAAUCAGUGGAAACGAAGCACGCUGAUGGAGAGCACGUUGCAUUUUUGCUGCUUUGCAGGAGGGAACACAGUGCAGAGAGGGAAAUGAUUCACCCUGUGGAGACAACAAGGCAGUUAAUGGCUAGGCAUUCAUUUGGACCAUCUUAAUCCUGAAUUAAUGCCCUGGCAUUUAACUUGCAUUCUCUUUCUUGUCCUUUCCUUAAUUUUGACUUGAAUGUGUCUCAGUCUUGCUGUAAUGUUCCUCCACAGGCAACCUUUUCAGCCCGCUUUGUCUCUGCUCUGACAAGUUCAGGGCUGAAGGAGCACAGACUGCUUUUCUCUGACGUGCUGCUCAUCUUCCGUGUGGGUGCCAAAGGUUCGUGUUAUACAAAAAAGAUAAAAGGAAAAGGGGAGAAGCAGCCUGUUUUAUAAACUAAGUUUGACUUUCUACUUUUUUUAAUCUUUCGACAAAAUAAUCCCCUUGUCUGGCUCUCAGACAGUGUCUUAAAUCAGCCCGGUGCUGCACUGACUGCAGGCACAGCCAAGGCUCUUGUCGUAAUGCUUUACUCUCCAACAUCUUAGCAACAUCACCCCCACAAUCUAGUGCUUGUUGUGGUAAACAGAGAAUGUUUGGCAAGGAAAUUGGUCUUAAGACUGAGUCCCUAACAGUAAGUAACUCUUAAGUAACUCUCACGUCUCUCUAGCUGGUGUAAGAGGCAGUCCUGGCUGUAAUUCCUUGGCUUCAAGGGAAUUCUCUCUCUAGUGUGGUUAAAGUCGGUGGCAAUCAAUUCAGGGUGAUUAAUGUGAGUUAUUUUACGUGGGGAGAGAUGCAGAAUUGCACGGCACUUCAGGUUUCAUUGUUUGAUUCAAGCUUCCCAGACUGUAAAACUACAGCUGGGUAGGGGUAGGAGGGGAAUUCAGCCGUGUGCUAAACAAUCUGGGCUGGAGCACAUUGGAAUACGAGAUAAUAGCAAUUAGGUGUAGAACAAAAGCAUUUCUCUGCAGCCGAGAGUGAAGGAUUUAUUGAGUUGACAAGCCUGACACUUCCCUACAUCAUUCCUUGAGACUAAAAAUUAGACUUUUAACAGAAUUUCCUUUGUUUGGAGCCUCACUCCAGUCUGGGUAUACGUGCCAGCCUCGGUGCUGCUGUUGCUUUUGAAGGAUUUCUCUUUUCUCUCCCUUGGUUUCUCCGAUAAAACCUGGAUAUUGUUUUGGAGACCGCCAGUCUCAUAUUCCUGCAACAGCAGCAAAAUAAUCUGAAGAAAUAUCAAAUGAUGGAUCACCGAUUAAAAUGAGUGAGGAGACACUGGAAAAUUUUGCUAGGCAGCUGGCAGGUUACAUGAAGAGCUCGUGUUUUUAAUUGGACGUGAAGUUGGAGGCCUCGACAUAAGUACAGAUUUGUUCUUUCUUGCUUAUUUAUGCCCGGCGUAACCGAAUAAACUAAUCCUGAAUCAUGCUGGGAGGGCUGGUUGUUCUGCAGCGACGGCGUGUCCAGCACAUCAUCCUCGAGGCGUUUUCAGAAGGCAUCUCACAGGAUCCCAGCGCUGCUGAGGGCGGCGGGGACCUCUGCAGAUCCAUCUCAUCCAGCCCCUGAGCUCGUGGUGGAGUCAGCUGCAGCAGGCUGCCCAGGACGGCGUCCUGUGGGUGUUGGGCAUCUCCGAUGGAGACUGCAGCCUGCUCCUGUGCUCCAUCACCCUAUAGAGAUAGCAGCAUCCCUAAAUCCAGUUCCCAGAACCUCCAUGAAAAUCGGCAGCAGGAAUAAAGAGAGGAUGCUCUGGGAGGGAGCCACCAGCAAAAGGCUUUGAGAGCACGCGGAGCUCGGAGCACAGCCUCACCCCUCUCCCACCCGCAUCCAGGAGGAUGAAGGAGCUGGAGAGAGGAGGGGAAUAUCAAGGAGGCUGUAUUGUGCUGGGGGGAGGAGAGAAGUAAUGAUAGCAAAACCUGACUGCCUACAGAUCUGCAGGCUAUCUUUGCUUGCUGAAUGUGUGUUUUAAAGCCCGUUCUCAGUUUUGCUAGGUAUUCUGUAGCUGUGUGGGUAAAAGCGUGUGGGCUGCAAAUUGACUCUUGCACACCGACUAAAUGAGGCUUUAUUCUGGGCGGGAGAACUACCCACAAGCUAUUCAACACCGAGGGGAGCCCCAUUACCUCAUCCUGAUUACAGGCUCUGCGUAUUUUUGCUUGCUUUUUGCUUUUUUCCUGUGUUUAGCCAUACUUACUGCAGUGCUCAUUGGUUUUUGAGGGAUUUUUGCACAGCUCACGUUCUGUAAUUGACAGUUGCACCAACAAUAGAGAGACGCAUGCUAUGCAGACUGCUUAAAGAGGUCAGUGCUUUGGAAUGACUUCAUCUGGCGUUAUUAAUUCUUCAUUGUAAAAUUGCACAUCGUAUUGUAGCUGAGUCUGAUGUCGCGCUUGUUUCUCAGCAAGAAAUUACAGUGGAAAAAGAAAGUGCCCAGGAGCUUGCUGUGGGACACGAGGCUAUGGAAGAGAAGAGCUGGAGGUGGUAGGAGUGCUCCUAUAGACCCACAGGAACAGUAAGAACAACGAGAUGCUCGUAAUGAGACUUAAUAGGAUAAGAAAUGUUUUGCCAGACAUGGUGAUUGAUCGCUACAACAUUUCAGGAACCCCUUGGUCUUCGUGUGGUUUCCCGAUGUUUCUUCUCCUGUUGAGGUAUGCCAGGACAGCUCUCCAGACAGUUCCUGCUGCAGGAUGAUCCAAUUAAUCUUGGAAACGAAAUGCUUGAGGACAUCAGUAGGCUGUAACUCGACCUUUUCACUACUUUUGUCUCUUCUUGAGCAGCUUGGGGCUUCGUGGUGCCUGUUUAUUUUACCUGGGAGCUCAUUUGGUUGGGCCAGUGUUUGUAGUACCCAUACAUCAGGCUUAAACAUUUGGCUAAUUGCUUUGCUUGGCAUUCAGGGAGCCUGAAACUGCUGGUCUGUGUGUUCAAGUUACACUCGUACGGAGUGCUAAACCUUUGUUCUCAGUGCCAGCCCUCGUAGCACAAACAUGCAGCCUAUUUGAGCUAGGACAGCCACCUCCAUCCUCCGACAUCCCCUGCUCUUCCAGAGAGACUCGGGAAGAGCUACCAAAACAGAUCCGUGCCUCCAGGAACUCCUCAGCCUUUUGAUUUGUGUGUUCACCGGGGUCCAAGAAUUUAGGACGCAGAUCGGUGUGUUUUUAUCUUCAGCUUCUUCAGUGCUGGGCUUUGUCAACAGCUCAAUCGCUGCAAUCGGCUGGAGGAAGGGCAGGCAGCAGCAAGGCUGCUCCGUGUGUGUCUGGACCGGGGUUUGUUGCAGCCCUCACUAUGUUUGCUUCAAGCUGGCAUUAUCAGGCCCUCGUUUUUUAAGCUAUUUGCAUUGCAGAAUAUUUGCGCCAAGGCGUUGCUUAGCUUAGCGUGCUCCUGCUGUGCUGCUUUGUGUACUCGUGGUUGAGCUUCUCUUGGCCUGGGAUCUGGCUUUGGCCGUUGUCUGCUAUAAGGUUUUCCACUUAACCUCGUUCCCUCAUUCAAAUUGAUAGCCCUGCGCCAGCCCUUGACAUCCUGAAAUCUCUCUUGCUAAUAGGAAGUAGCUGGCCCUGAACGUUUUCUUCAGCAGCAGCGCUGCUUGUUUCGAGCAGUACAAAGCUGUGACGUGACAAAAGCGCGAGGGUUUUUUUACCCUCCUUCAAGUAAAAUAAGAAGCUCGCAUUUAUUCCUGGAUGCUGAGGCGAGGAUCUCUUUCCCAGUGUUUUCUAAGAGGUUGUGAGACGUUGAAGGAUUGCUCUAAUUAAAUGCACCCGCAAGCGUAUCCGAGGAUUUGAAGUAUGCGCUCACCUUUGGCCAGACAAACCUGUAAUCUUACGUGGAGGCCAACUCUUUUCCCCUCUAUUUGUAAUGAAUCCCAAAGCACUUGUAACCGAUUCAGCUCGUGUUGCAUCAAGGCUUUCUCACGAAUAUUUGCUAAGGUAGUGCAGGCUUACAGCAAACACCAGCACUUCUGCCUUAGCUGGAGACUCGCAGGGAUUUGGAGGUAGGGAGGGGGAAAUCAGAGCUGGCCCCGAGGCGUGCUCGUGGUUGUGGUGUUGGUGGCACACUACAGGACUCCGGCAGGCAGAGCUUGCUGGGGACAUCACGUUUGGGGGUGGGAAGUUGUUAAGCAGCAGGACAGGCUUCACAGGAGAUGAACUUGGUCUUAGAGCCUUUGCUUUCCAGGCUUUACAGGUCGGAAAAGAAUUUAGCCCUCAGAGGGCUCAACACCUGAGAUUCCCCCCAAAAAAACACAUCUUUAAUUCAUCUUGUUGGGCUUUUAUUGCUCUUUGAUUACGGCUGAGCUGCCCUAAUGAGAACAACAGUACCUCCCCAGCCCAAAAGCAUCUCUUCGUGUGAAUCUCACCCCGUGAGUCAUUACAUUUACUUAUCCCCGUAUUUAUUGCAGCAAAUCCUUUGCUUACUUUGCACAGCCGACCACCCUGCUUGGUAUUUGUUGUUCUCCUUGGAAUUGCAGCAGCCGCGGUAGGACAAACAUUUUGUUUUUCUGCAGCAUUCACUCAUUUAGAGAUCUGCACUGUGUUUUUUUCUUGGAUUUCCCCACCGUUUUAUGCUGCCCGUGUUACAGCCUCGAAGCCUUUUCCCACUGAGCGUAAAGCGCAUUAAGCAGCAUGUGCAAAUGAGCACCAGCACAUCUGCUAAUUGUGCUAACAGAUGGAAAUAGGAACAAAAGUUACUUUUGGAGAGCUAGAAAUAUUUAUAGGAGCCAUCAUCCAUCGCUCCCAACGCUUUGAUUACGGAUGGAGCCUCUUUGUGGUGCGCGAAAGUUGAUUAAGCUUUUGCAGAUGGUUUGACUGGAGGUAAUGAGAGAAAUGUGAAAGAAAUGCAGAUGUCUUACAGCUUCUGAUUUACGUGCUUUAGGCAAAUAAAUGGCUGAACAGGAGAGCUUUUGUUUUGGGUUAUUUAGGAAAAAAA
This is a non-coding RNA of Anas platyrhynchos (mallard), 9559 nucleotides long. NCBI's taxonomy places the organism in Eukaryota, Metazoa, Chordata, Aves, Anseriformes, Anatidae. The record is from RefSeq and is a predicted model, not a curated record.